CAAGCGGUGGAGCAUGUGGUUUAAUUCGAUGCAACGCGAAGAACCUUACCUACUCUUGACAUCCAGCGAACUUAGCAGAGAUGCUUUGGUGCCUUCGGGAACGCUGAGACAGGUGCUGCAUGGCUGUCGUCAGCUCGUGUUGUGAAAUGUUGGGUUAAGUCCCGCAACGAGCGCAACCCUUAUCCUUUGUUGCCAGCGAUACGGUCGGGGACUCAAAGGAGACUGCCGGUGAUAAACCGGAGGAAGGUGGGGAUGACGUCAAGUCAUCAUGGCCCUUACGAGUAGGGCUACACACGUGCUACAAUGGCGCAUACAAAGAGAAGCGACCUCGCGAGAGCAAGCGGACCUCAGAAAGUGCGUCGUAGCCCGGAUCGGAGUCUGCAACUCGACUCCGUGAAGUCGGAAUCGCUAGUAAUCGUGGAUCAGAAUGCCACGGUGAAUACGUUCCCGGGCCUUGUACACACC
This 465-nucleotide ribosomal RNA is filed under the name uncultured bacterium. RNAcentral describes it as "bacterial SSU rRNA". It matches the Rfam family "Bacterial small subunit ribosomal RNA", at positions 926 to 1391 of the family's 1533-position model. The record is from RNAcentral.